RNAcentral lists this small RNA (777 nucleotides) under Histoplasma capsulatum. Its description in RNAcentral is "hypothetical RNA". RNAcentral also lists the same sequence under 1 other name. Lineage: Eukaryota; Fungi; Ascomycota; Eurotiomycetes; Onygenales; Ajellomycetaceae. The record is from RNAcentral.
GGGCUGACUGGGGCUGGUGACUCCCUGGGAAAAACUAUUAUUAAUAAUGAAUGAACUCUCCGGACGGAGUUCUCGCUGUGUCUUUUGGCCUUUCCAGGGUUCCGAAAACCCAAAGCCGGAGUUAGGCUGCCAAAUCUAUCCGACCAGACGGUAGCGGUAGCCAAUGUGCGCACGGCGGUGGUGAUGUAAUAAUAUAAGUUCCGCAGUUUGGAAGUCUCGUCAAGUACGGAGUGCCUAAAAAUGGAGUCUGGAGGAUCGACGAGGCUGUGGGGUUUUGCCUAGCUUGGAACCCGGGAGGGGGGGGAAUGAUUACUACUGCUGCUAAUAAUAAUGGUAAAAAUAUCGAUGGAUGUCGGUGCGAUGAUUCAAGGUGGAAAUACAAGGGAUGCACAGACACAGCAGGUGAAUGGAUAGAUGUGGAUUGACGGAGUGGAGGGAGCAUGUAUGUAUGUAUCGUAUUCAGAAAUAACCCGUGGAGGGGAGAGAUAUUCAAUUUGAAGGGAUGAGUGUUCCAGUUAGUAACUAUGUAAACGAAGCCGCGGGCCAGGAUUCAAGGAAGCAUGUGGUCAAGCAGUGAAUGCUGCCGACGAGGAGGAUUUCCGAAGGAAUUGAUUGAUGCUCAACUCUUCUUGUUCGUAGAUUAUAUUACUAUUGAUUGAUCCUUAUUACCCUUCAUUUGAUUCAGGCUAGAGCUGUUUGUUGCUUUGCUGCUUUGUUGCUUUGUUGUUGUCUUGUGGGCGGGGGCCAGCCAAGAGGGACAAAAAAAGAAAAAGGCGC